RNAcentral lists this ribosomal RNA (500 nucleotides) under uncultured Proteiniphilum sp. RNAcentral describes it as "bacterial SSU rRNA". It matches the Rfam family "Bacterial small subunit ribosomal RNA", at positions 903 to 1382 of the family's 1533-position model. Lineage: Bacteria; Pseudomonadati; Bacteroidota; Bacteroidia; Bacteroidales; Dysgonomonadaceae. The record is from RNAcentral.
GCCAGCCCGCUCAGAAAACUUAAAGGAAUUGACGGGGGCCCGCACAAGCGGAGGAACAUGUGGUUUAAUUCGAUGAUACGCGAGGAACCUUACCCGGGCUUGAAAUGCAUCUGACCGGCCUUGAAAGAGGCACUCCCUUCGGGGCAGAUGUGUAGGUGCUGCAUGGUUGUCGUCAGCUCGUGCCGUGAGGUGUCGGCUUAAGUGCCAUAACGAGCGCAACCCUCAUCAUUAGUUACCAUCAGGUAAGGCUGGGGACUCUAAUGAGACUGCCAUCGUAAGAUGUGAGGAAGGUGGGGAUGACGUCAAAUCAGCACGGCCCUUACGUCCGGGGCGACACACGUGUUACAAUGGGUGGUACAAAGGGCAGCUACCUGGCGACAGGAUGCUAAUCUCGAAAACCGCUCUCAGUUCGGAUCGGAGUCUGCAACUCGACUCCGUGAAGCUGGAUUCGCUAGUAAUCGCGCAUCAGCCACGGCGCGGUGAAUACGUUCCCGGGCCUU